This 2185-nucleotide ribosomal RNA is filed under the name Staphylococcus aureus. RNAcentral describes it as "partial 23S ribosomal RNA". It matches the Rfam family "Bacterial large subunit ribosomal RNA", at positions 12 to 2195 of the family's 2925-position model. The record is from RNAcentral. Lineage: Bacteria; Bacillati; Bacillota; Bacilli; Caryophanales; Staphylococcaceae.
UAAGGGCGCACGGUGGAUGCCUUGGCACUAGAAGCCGAUGAAGGACGUUACUAACGACGAUAUGCUUUGGGGAGCUGUAAGUAAGCUUUGAUCCAGAGAUUUCCGAAUGGGGAAACCCAGCAUGAGUUAUGUCAUGUUAUCGAUAUGUGAAUACAUAGCAUAUCAGAAGGCACACCCGGAGAACUGAAACAUCUUAGUACCCGGAGGAAGAGAAAGAAAAUUCGAUUCCCUUAGUAGCGGCGAGCGAAACGGGAAGAGCCCAAACCAACAAGCUUGCUUGUUGGGGUUGUAGGACACUCUAUACGGAGUUACAAAGGACGACAUUAGACGAAUCAUCUGGAAAGAUGAAUCAAAGAAGGUAAUAAUCCUGUAGUCGAAAAUGUUGUCUCUCUUGAGUGGAUCCUGAGUACGACGGAGCACGUGAAAUUCCGUCGGAAUCUGGGAGGACCAUCUCCUAAGGCUAAAUACUCUCUAGUGACCGAUAGUGAACCAGUACCGUGAGGGAAAGGUGAAAAGCACCCCGGAAGGGGAGUGAAAUAGAACCUGAAACCGUGUGCUUACAAGUAGUCAGAGCCCGUUAAUGGGUGAUGGCGUGCCUUUUGUAGAAUGAACCGGCGAGUUACGAUUUGAUGCAAGGUUAAGCAGUAAAUGUGGAGCCGUAGCGAAAGCGAGUCUGAAUAGGGCGUUUAGUAUUUGGUCGUAGACCCGAAACCAGGUGAUCUACCCUUGGUCAGGUUGAAGUUCAGGUAACACUGAAUGGAGGACCGAACCGACUUACGUUGAAAAGUGAGCGGAUGAACUGAGGGUAGCGGAGAAAUUCCAAUCGAACCUGGAGAUAGCUGGUUCUCUCCGAAAUAGCUUUAGGGCUAGCCUCAAGUGAUGAUUAUUGGAGGUAGAGCACUGUUUGGACGAGGGGCCCCUCUCGGGUUACCGAAUUCAGACAAACUCCGAAUGCCAAUUAAUUUAACUUGGGAGUCAGAACAUGGGUGAUAAGGUCCGUGUUCGAAAGGGAAACAGCCCAGACCACCAGCUAAGGUCCCAAAAUAUAUGUUAAGUGGAAAAGGAUGUGGCGUUGCCCAGACAACUAGGAUGUUGGCUUAGAAGCAGCCAUCAUUUAAAGAGUGCGUAAUAGCUCACUAGUCGAGUGACACUGCGCCGAAAAUGUACCGGGGCUAAACAUAUUACCGAAGCUGUGGAUUGUCCUUUGGACAAUGGUAGGAGAGCGUUCUAAGGGCGUUGAAGCAUGAUCGUAAGGACAUGUGGAGCGCUUAGAAGUGAGAAUGCCGGUGUGAGUAGCGAAAGACGGGUGAGAAUCCCGUCCACCGAUUGACUAAGGUUUCCAGAGGAAGGCUCGUCCGCUCUGGGUUAGUCGGGUCCUAAGCUGAGGCCGACAGGCGUAGGCGAUGGAUAACAGGUUGAUAUUCCUGUACCACCUAUAAUCGUUUUAAUCGAUGGGGGGACGCAGUAGGAUAGGCGAAGCGUGCGAUUGGAUUGCACGUCUAAGCAGUAAGGCUGAGUAUUAGGCAAAUCCGGUACUCAUUAAGGCUGAGCUGUGAUGGGGAGAAGACAUUGUGUCUUCGAGUCGUUGAUUUCACACUGCCGAGAAAAGCCUCUAGAUAGAAAAUAGGUGCCCGUACCGCAAACCGACACAGGUAGUCAAGAUGAGAAUUCUAAGGUGAGCGAGCGAACUCUCGUUAAGGAACUCGGCAAAAUGACCCCGUAACUUCGGGAGAAGGGGUGCUCUUUAGGGUUAACGCCCAGAAGAGCCGCAGUGAAUAGGCCCAAGCGACUGUUUAUCAAAAACACAGGUCUCUGCUAAACCGUAAGGUGAUGUAUAGGGGCUGACGCCUGCCCGGUGCUGGAAGGUUAAGAGGAGUGGUUAGCUUCUGCGAAGCUACGAAUCGAAGCCCCAGUAAACGGCGGCCGUAACUAUAACGGUCCUAAGGUAGCGAAAUUCCUUGUCGGGUAAGUUCCGACCCGCACGAAAGGCGUAACGAUUUGGGCACUGUCUCAACGAGAGACUCGGUGAAAUCAUAGUACCUGUGAAGAUGCAGGUUACCCGCGACAGGACGGAAAGACCCCGUGGAGCUUUACUGUAGCCUGAUAUUGAAAUUCGGCACAGCUUGUACAGGAUAGGUAGGAGCCUUUGAAACGUGAGCGCUAGCUUACGUGGAGGCGCUGGUGG